UUGGAGGGCAAGUCUGGUGCCAGCAGCCGCGGUAAUUCCAGCUCCAAUAGCGUAUAUUAAAGUUGUUGCAGUUAAAAAGCUCGUAGUUGAAUUUCGGAGUUUGUCGGUUGGUCGGGCUUCACUGUCCACACUGGCCUGAUGGAUUCCUACCUUCUGAAUAACCGGCAUGCUAUUAAGUUAGUGCGUUGGGGAAGCAGAGCUAUUACCUUGAAAAAAUUAGAGUGCUUAAAGCAGGCUUUUGCUUGAAUAGAUUAGCAUGGAAUAAUAAAAUAGGACGGCAUGGUUCUAUUUUGUUGGUUUCUAGGAUCACCGUAAUGAUUAAUAGGGAUAGUUGGGGGCAUUAGUAUUCAAUUGUCAGAGGUGAAAUUCUUGGAUUUAUUGAAGACUAACUUCUGCGAAAGCAUUUGCCAAGGAUGUUUUCAUUAAUCAAGAACGAAAGUUAGGGGAUCGAAGACGAUCAGAUACCGUCGUAGUCUUAACCAUAGACUAUGCCGACUAGGGAUCGGACGAUGUUAAUUUUUUAAUAACUCGUUCGGCGCCUUACGGGAAAC
RNAcentral lists this ribosomal RNA (551 nucleotides) under uncultured Acaulosporaceae. RNAcentral describes it as "SSU rRNA". It matches the Rfam family "Eukaryotic small subunit ribosomal RNA", at positions 548 to 1098 of the family's 1831-position model. Lineage: Eukaryota; Fungi; Glomeromycota; Glomeromycetes; Diversisporales; Acaulosporaceae. The record is from RNAcentral.